GUCGAACGAUGAACCAGGAGCUUGCUCUCGGGGAUUAGUGGCGAACGGGUGAGUAACACGUGAGUAACCUGCCCUUGACUCUGGGAUAACCUCCGGAAACGGAAGCUAAUACCGGAUACGAACUGCGAAGGCAUCUUCAGCAGUUGGAAAGAACUUCGGUCAAGGAUGGACUCGCGGCCUAUCAGGUAGUUGGUGAGGUAACGGCUCACCAAGCCUACGACGGGUAGCCGGCCUGAGAGGGUGACCGGCCACACUGGGACUGAGACACGGCCCAGACUCCUACGGGAGGCAGCAGUGGGGAAUAUUGCACAAUGGGCGCAAGCCUGAUGCAGCAACGCCGCGUGAGGGAUGACGGCCUUCGGGUUGUAAACCUCUUUUAGUAGGGAAGAAGCGAAAGUGACGGUACCUGCAGAAAAAGCACCGGCUAACUACGUGCCAGCAGCCGCGGUAAUACGUAGGGUGCGAGCGUUGUCCGGAAUUAUUGGGCGUAAAGAGCUCGUAGGCGGUCUGUCGCGUCUGCUGUGAAAACCCGAGGCUCAACCUCGGGCCUGCAGUGGGUACGGGCAGACUAGAGUGCGGUAGGGGAGAAUGGAAUUCCUGGUGUAGCGGUGGAAUGCGCAUAUAUCAGGAGGAACACCGAUGGCGAAG
RNAcentral lists this ribosomal RNA (648 nucleotides) under uncultured Leifsonia sp. RNAcentral describes it as "bacterial SSU rRNA". It matches the Rfam family "Bacterial small subunit ribosomal RNA", at positions 61 to 720 of the family's 1533-position model. Lineage: Bacteria; Bacillati; Actinomycetota; Actinomycetes; Micrococcales; Microbacteriaceae. The record is from RNAcentral.